RNAcentral lists this ribosomal RNA (434 nucleotides) under uncultured Lachnospiraceae bacterium. Its description in RNAcentral is "bacterial SSU rRNA". It matches the Rfam family "Bacterial small subunit ribosomal RNA", at positions 341 to 792 of the family's 1533-position model. Lineage: Bacteria; Bacillati; Bacillota; Clostridia; Lachnospirales; Lachnospiraceae. The record is from RNAcentral.
ACGGAAGGCAGCAGUGGGGAAUAUUGCACAAUGGGGGAAACCCUGAUGCAGCGACGCCGCGUGAGUGAAGAAGUUAUUCGUAAUGUAAAGCUCUAUCAGCAGGGAAGAAAAUGACGGUACCUGACUAAGAAGCCCCGGCUAACUACGUGCCAGCAGCCGCGGUAAUACGUAGGGGGCAAGCGUUAUCCGGAUUUACUGGGUGUAAAGGGAGCGUAGACGGCUUAGCAAGUCUGAUGUGAAAGGCAGGGGCUCAACUUCUGGACUGCAUUGGAAACUGUUAAGCUGGAGUGCCGGAGAGGUAAGCGGAAUUCCUAGUGUAGCGGUGAAAUGCGUAGAUAUUAGGAGGAACACCAGUGGCGAAGGCGGCUUACUGGACGGUAACUGACGUUGAGGCUCGAAAGCGUGGGGAGCAAACAGGAUUAGAUACCCUGGUA